GAUGAACGCUGGCGGCGUGCCUAAUACAUGCAAGUCGAGCGAAUGGAUUAAGAGCUUGCUCUUAUGAAGUUAGCGGCGGACGGGUGAGUAACACGUGGGUAACCUGCCCAUAAGACUGGGAUAACUCCGGGAAACCGGGGCUAAUACCGGAUAAUAUUUUGAACUGCAUGGUUCAAAAUUGAAAGGCGGCUUCGGCUGUCACUUAUGGAUGGACCCGCGUCGCAUUAGCUAGUUGGUGAGGUAACGGCCCACCAAGGCAACGAUGCGUAGCCGACCUGGGAGGGUGAUCGGCCAGACUGGGACUGAGACACGGCCCAGACUCCUACGGGAGGCAGCAGUAGGGAAUCUUCCGCAAUGGACGAAAGUCUGACGGAGCAACGCCGCGUGAGUGAUGAAGGCUUUCGGGUCGUAAAACUCUGUUGUUAGGGAAGGACAAGUGCUAGUUGAAUAAGCUGGCACCUUGACGGUACCUAACCAGAAAGCCACGGCUAACUACGUGCCAGCCGCCGCAGUAA
This 515-nucleotide ribosomal RNA is filed under the name uncultured bacterium. RNAcentral describes it as "partial 16S ribosomal RNA". It matches the Rfam family "Bacterial small subunit ribosomal RNA", at positions 28 to 523 of the family's 1533-position model. The record is from RNAcentral.